Molecule: long non-coding RNA, 643 nt
Filed under: Mus pahari (shrew mouse)
Lineage: Eukaryota; Metazoa; Chordata; Mammalia; Rodentia; Muridae
Description: predicted gene 28516 (MGP_PahariEiJ_G0005172.1)
Source: RNAcentral
UCAGCUAGCCAGCGGCUGCUAGGGAUACAGCUGUUGUGGCAUCUCAGUGGGUUCACUCCUUGCUCUUGCCGGGGGAGGAGACAAGGCUACCCACCUCAGGACCAGCAGACACUCAGACCCCUGGACAGGAAGGGUGCUAGAUGACCACACAUCCUUUGUGAAAAUAGGUAUUUCGGUGGACUUCCGGGCUUCUGGCCCUCCGGAGCACGGGGCAGGCAGAUUAAGUCAGGCUGAGGACUAGGUGAAGCGUCAGAAUUUCCGGUUCUUUGUCCAGAUUAAAUGCCAUUGCGCUGAACGCACCCGCUCUCGGCUGAAGUGGGGAGGCCGAUUCGAUUAGUAUAGACGCAGAAUAGGAGCAAUGGAGACAUGUCUGAAGAUGUGGGAAGGAAGAGCUGACUCAUAUAAGUCCCAUUACACCUUUAAGACAACCUCUUGGAAGAGACAAAGACCCUACAGAGAUGAGGGCCAACUGUGCCACAGAAACAACCAAGAUUUGCCACAUCAGCUGAUUUCACACCAGUGCUGUGAAUUGAUUUGUUGUUGUUGUUGUUGUUGUUGUUAGCAAAGCUGUGACCAUGGUAGCCAGGCAGGGCCACCAAAAUUGCUAGAGUAGUAUAAAUAAAACAUAGAAGUCAGGGAUUGU